This is a long non-coding RNA of Hibiscus syriacus, 1458 nucleotides long. RefSeq lists it as uncharacterized. NCBI's taxonomy places the organism in Eukaryota, Viridiplantae, Streptophyta, Magnoliopsida, Malvales, Malvaceae. The record is from RefSeq and is a predicted model, not a curated record. The transcript is spliced from 3 exons.
UUGUGGUCUUAUUCUUAACCUGGCACAACUACGGGAUAUGUCUUGAGCCUUUGUUCAAAUGUAUUAUCGCAUAGCUGCACACAAGUUCUUCUUCUUUUACGAUCCUCAUAGACGAGGGAAAGGCUGCAUAAAAAAAGCGCUACUUAGCAAUUGUCUCCAGGAAUUAAUGGAAAUACAUCAGGUACAAUAUUCAUGAGUAUAUCUUGUAGAUAUACUUUCCUUCGUUAAACUUCUGCGCACGAAAGUGAGGAAGAAGUCACCGACAGUGAGAAAGCCGAAAAUUAGUUUUUCUUGACAUCUGCACAAUGUAUAUGUGUGAGUGUUCAGAACAUUUUCGAUUUCGUAGAGAUUGUGCCGUGUUUUUAUUGUUUUUGUAUGCCAUCUCCUUUGAAUUUGAUGGUAUAGUGGAUCACAAUCUGCAAUUUCUUACUCUUCCUAUUCUUUGUCUUGAUUUUGGAAACUGCAUAUGCAAAUAAUGUACGUGGGAAAUAUGAUGUUCUAAUUACACUCUGAUUCUUCUCCUAGAUAUGUUUCUUGCCCUUGGUUUUUGGAAACUGCUUAUGUUUGAUCAGAAGUGGUAGGAUAUAACAUUUCUUUUUCCGGAGUAUACCCCGCUUUCUCAUGUUUGAUCCUUCAGCCUGGUUGUUACUUAAACGCCUGUUCUUCAAAGCAAAAGUGGAAUUAAACUUUGGAAUGUUACUAAACCAACCCCUCAUAUAUCCUCUUCUUCUACUUAGUCGUUUCCUUUCUGCUAUUAUGUGUGGAUUUCAUUUUGGGUUUUCUACUCGAUAAUUUUUAAAUUUUUUAUGCACUCAAAGUAUUUGAUGAGCAUGCCUGCCGUGGUAAAACUGGUGCUGGAAAUAAUCGAGAGAUGGAUUUCAAAAGUUUUCUUGACUUUGUUCUGGCCAUUGGGAACAAAGACACCCCAGAAGGAUUAACAUAUUUGUUUCGCUGCUGCCUCGAUCUUAAUGGUAGAGGAUUCCUCACAAUGGCAGCAGAUAUUCACUCUCUUUUCAGGGAUGUACAGCAGAAAUGGAUCAAAGGGGGCAAUUAUGAAUUGUUUAUCGAGGAUGUUCGGGAUAAAAUUUGAGAUAUGGUAAAGCCAGUUGAAUAUUACGUUGGCGUUUACCUCCUAGCUUGUAAACAGGGUGGCAUGCUCGUAGAUGUUUAUCUUCAAAUCCAGAACAAGGAGCAGCCAAUCUCCACUCUAUUUCCUCUAGUUCUGUCAUAGACAUCCUACUACAGUUGCUGAUUACGAAAGAGCUUGCAAAAGACGGGAAAAAGGUAGACGAGAAAAGCAGAGCCAUCGAGCAUAAAACUCGUGCCGUUGCUUUUGCAUUGGACUGUGAGGCGGAUGCUACCUAUCUAGAUAAUUUAGAGAGUUACAACUAAUCCCCUUGCUUUCAUGAAAAUUGCUUUGCCACAAUUAUUUCACAUUUUAUACGUCAUGUUUCUUGA